AUGCCGCGUCCACGCAUCACGCAAGCAUCCCCGGCUUGGGGAACACGGAAUUUCGGACCCACGGGAGGGAGGACGUUUGGGAGCCUCCUAGGCCUCAUUUCCCCGACGCACUGGGCGUCCGGCCGGUGGCACCUUCGUCCCCGCGCCCUGCACAGCCGUGGCCGCGCCCCGGGCGCCCCGACGCCAGCCCCUGACCCGCCUCCGUUUCCCCGAAAAGAGCCUUGGGGCUGGAGCCGCGGUCGCGCCGGGGGUGCCCUCCGCGCCCCUGCAGCCCCGAGCAAACGGCCGCGCCCCGAGGGCCGCCCGCGCGGGAACCCGCGGGGGGAGGGAGGGGAGGGGAGGGGAGGGGAAGGGAGGGGAGGGGAGAGGGGUGGGGGGGGGGAGAAGAUGGGGGGGGGGGGGGGAGGGAGGGGGGGGGAGGAGAGGGAGGGGGGGGGGGGGGGGGGGGGGGGGGGGGGGGGGGGGGGGGGGGGGAGGGGGGGAGGGGGGGGGGGGGGGGGGGGGGGGAGGGGGGGGGGGGGGGGGGGGGGAGGGGGGGGGGGGGGAGGGGGGGGGGAGGGGGGGGGGGGGGGGGGGGGGGGGGGGGGGGGGGGGGGGGGGGGGAGGAGGGGGAGGGGGGGAGAGGGAGGAGGGGGGGGGGGGGGGGGGAGGGGGGGGGAUGGGAGGGGGGGGGGGGGGAGGGGGGGGGAAGGGGGGGGAGGGGGGGGGGGGGGGGGGUGGGAGGGAGGGGGGGGGGGGGGGGUGGGGGGGGGGGGGAGGGGGAGGCCGGGCCUUCUGCCCAUUGGACCCGCUCCACGACCUGUUUCAGUUCCGAUGAGAGGCGGGGAACGUCUUCCAAGAUGGCAAUCGCUCGACCUGGAGCACAUCCUGACUAUUUUUACGAUCGUAUUUACUUAUCCUGAGACACACAGAGAGGCGGAGCCCCGGGCCGCGGGAGCCGCCCCCUGCAGGGAGCCGACGGGGAGGGGGCUCGGUCGGGGCCGGGGUCGCGGCCGGGCCGGGGCGGACGCUCCCCGCCGAGUCGGUCACCCGGGCGUCCUAGGAAACGUUUUUGAGACCUGGUUUUCAGGGUCUGAGUUCCUGAGCGCCCCAGGGCUGGAGAGCUGUGUCUCACCUGAGGCGCCCCGAGGUUGCCAGGCCCAGGCGCACUAUUUGUUUCCUUCGCUGUCGCCAAGGGAGGCCUGGGUCAAAAGUUGGGGCAGGGCAGGGCAGGGCAGGGCAGGGGGGCAUCCAAGGACCCAGGUGAACGGAUGUGCAGCCGUGGACAGCUCCAGCCUGACGCCUUAG
RNAcentral lists this long non-coding RNA (1287 nucleotides) under Canis lupus familiaris (dog). Its description in RNAcentral is "lncRNA (ENSCAFG00845024572.1)". Lineage: Eukaryota; Metazoa; Chordata; Mammalia; Carnivora; Canidae. The record is from RNAcentral.